ACGAACGCUGGCGGCGUGCCUAAUACAUGCAAGUAGAACGCACAGUUUAUACCGUAGCUUGCUACACCAUAGACUGUGAGUUGCGAACGGGUGAGUAACGCGUAGGUAACCUGCCUGGUAGCGGGGGAUAACUAUUGGAAACGAUAGCUAAUACCGCAUAAUAUUGAUUAUUGCAUGAUAAUUAAUUGAAAGGUGCAAUUGCACCACUACCAGAUGGACCUGCGUUGUAUUAGCUAGUAGGUGAGGUAACGGCUCACCUAGGCGACGAUACAUAGCCGACCUGGGAGGGUGAACGGCCACACUGGGAAUGGGACACGGCCCAGGCUCCUACGGGAGGCAGCAGUAGGGAAUCUUCGGCAAUGGACGAAAGUCUGACCGAGCAACGCCGCGGGAGGGAAGAAGGUUUUCGGAUCGGAAAGCUCUGUUGUAAGAGAAGAAAGGGUGUGAGAGUGGAAAGUUCACACUGUGACGGUAUCUGACCAGAAAGCGACGGCUAACUACGUG
Molecule: ribosomal RNA, 504 nt
Filed under: uncultured bacterium
Lineage: Bacteria
Description: partial 16S ribosomal RNA
Rfam family: Bacterial small subunit ribosomal RNA
Source: RNAcentral